This 2576-nucleotide long non-coding RNA is filed under the name Oryzias sinensis (Chinese medaka). Its description in RNAcentral is "lncRNA (ENSOSIG00000001333.1)". Lineage: Eukaryota; Metazoa; Chordata; Actinopteri; Beloniformes; Adrianichthyidae. The record is from RNAcentral.
GAAGUGUCGGAUUUGCGCCAGAAGAACAGUGCUCACUGUCAGGAGGUCUCUGACCUGCAGGAGGCGCUGCAGUGGAAGGAGAAGAAGAUCGGGGUACUGUGGUUCUGCCUUCUCUCUUCAGGUUCCAGAGGCAAGAGCAGAACUGAUCCAGAAGUUCUUCUCUGAACCUCAGGUCUAAGUGGGACCUGAAGGAUGUCGGAGAGAAUCUUUAGAAAUAUUGGUUUUUGAGUAACUCAGCCAGAACUGGAUCUAUUCUGGUUCUGAUUUUGCCUCAGAAAACUUCUCCUGCAUGCUUUAACAUAUCAGCUUCUCACUUCCUGCUUCCUUCCCUGCCCACUUCCUGCUUCCUGGGCUCCUCUUCGACAGGCGUUAGAACGGCAGAGAGAGGUUUCUGACAUCAUCCGGAUCGAGCGUGACCGGCUCAGAGGCGAGGUUGUUCAUCUGCGAGAUUCUCUGAAGGUAUCAGGACCCCGCUGACGUCCCACAGCUAAAAGCUCUGAAAAUAAUCAACAGCAGCUCCGUCAAUGCUAGAUCCAAACCUUUUUCUACAGUUUAGAUCCCUUCCUCUUUGUUUAAACGAUGAGUUGUGGAAGUGAACUUUCAUACUGAGAGCAGUUUUUCCUGUGACUCCUUUUUGCCCUCGGGGCAUUUUACCUCUGUGUGAUGUCAUAACGUCACCUGAUGACUUCAUCCAAACCUUGACUGUUUAUCUGAUGAUUUCUAACGCCGUGACUCGGCUCAUGUCCCGUUCAUCUUUACUUUGUUCUGACCAGAAACAUGGAGUGGAAUCUCUGGAUGCCAAGAAUGGAGAUGCUGUUGAGGGCGGGGCUGAGGAUGAUGUCAGCACAGAGUCUGGCGGGCAGCUGGAGGAGUGGGCUGACAGCGACAGAGAAGGCACUCUUGGGAGAGCUACCCUGGAUCCACCGGCAGAGGGCGGGAAACUCUCUGAUGAAGAUAUUACGGCCCAUCACGGAGGAGGGGGCAGAGACUUUCAGCCUCCGAGCUCCACUCCCUCCGUUAAAACUAUACAGAGCAGAGAAAAGCAGAGAAUGGGCCACAAACAUCAGCACAGACACGAGGAGACCAAAAGACAAAAGAACAGGAGAGAACAGAACCCAAUCAAGACGUGUCCACCAGGAACCGACGGACACCCCCCUGCCAAAGCGCUAAUCAAGGACCCGACGGUUUCAGCUGAUAGGAACAGCUCCACCGAGAAAGUUUUCAAAUCCAGACUUGUUCCCCCUCGACCUGCUAGAGAUAUUCUUCUGGACCACAGAGCCACAGUGCUGAACCUUCUAGCUGUGGAGAAGAAACCAUCUGCAGAAGACACUAACUGCUCUGUUGGAGGUCUGGAACAGAGCUGUCCUUUGACUGGUCUGGAGAAAGAAGGACUGAUAACCAGCAGCUGGAAGAGCUCAGAGGAGGAUGCUGGUUCUAACAUGUCCUCCUUGACCAAAGAGCAGGAAGGGACGUGUGACGUUGGUACUCAGACCCCAGGCAGCCAUCUGAGGGAGUCGGGACCACAUGGGAUGGAUGAAGACACUGUACAAGAGAAAGUAGUACCAACAAGAUGGCCUGUAGGAGCUGAAGGCAGCUCCUUCUGCAAGGAUCAUUUAGGUCAUCCUGAAGUUCAGAGCUCUGAAACCAAACUGGAACCUGAAGGAGAUGGUCCACCUCAUUCUAGAGGAACCAGGAAAAACCUGAAAGAUUGGAGGAUCCAUGAGGCCAGAGCCAAUCAGAUCCUCAGAGGUUUCUUUGAACAUACCACAGGGCAGGAAUCAGACAGCAUGUUGGUUGCUUUGAGGAGCACUUUUCAAGGAUUGGUCAAUCAUUGGACUUCUGUAACUGACAUGACCAAAGUCUUCUCAGAAGUUCUAAUCUCUCUUCACAAGUGGAUCAUAGAUCUGGACAACCUGAUGACCACUGGAGUGGAGUCGGACCAAGGAGAUGCAGGGCCAGAAGAACCAGUGAGACGCGUCUCUAAGCUUUCAGCAGAAGGAGGUUUGAUGCAUUUCAGACCAAAUCAACUCAGAGAAGAUCCUGCAUGUGUGGAAGUUCCCUUAGCUGGGUGGUCCACGGCACCGAGGUCAGUCUGGUCAGCCCCAGAGAUGCUACAGCCUUCUGGAUCCACAGACCAGGAAGAGAAACAGACCAUAAAAGAAGAAUCUGAGAUCAAAUCCUCCCAAGAAGAGGAUUUAACAGACCAUCCAGCCAUGUCCAAUUCUGCUCCUUCAGAGACAGAAAGCUUCACCGAGGACUUUGUCUUUGUUGAUUCAUACUUUGCUGAACCGCUUCAGCCAUCAUUCAACCCUAAACCCCGCCUGGGUCAGCCAAGAGCAGAAGAUGGGAAGCUUCAUGUGGGACAAAGUUCUAAGGUCAGGAGGCUAAUUGAGACAACGGCGGAGGAAAUCAAAGCCAUGGCGGUGCCGGAGCUCGUGAUGGUGAGUCUACAGGAAGGAAGACAGCUCAACGGGCCGUCCUGGUUGAACGUUGGCUCCACCCAAGAGCAGCCGUCUGGAGACAUGGACAGCUGUGAGGAGGCUGAUGAGGAGCAGGAUCCUCCCCCCAAAGAAUAG